Molecule: ribosomal RNA, 468 nt
Filed under: uncultured bacterium
Lineage: Bacteria
Description: partial 16S ribosomal RNA
Rfam family: Bacterial small subunit ribosomal RNA
Source: RNAcentral
GACGAACGCUGGCGGCGUGCUUAACACAUGCAAGUCGAACGGAAAGGCCCUGCUUUUGUGGGGUGCUCGAGUGGCGAACGGGUGAGUAACACGUGAGUAACCUGCCCUUUACUUUGGGAUAACUUCAGGAAACUGGGGCUAAUACCGGAUAGGAGCUCCUGCUGCAUGGUGGGGGUUGGAAAGUUUCGGCGGUUGGGGAUGGACUCGCGGCUUAUCAGCUUGUUGGUGGGGUAGUGGCUUACCAAGGCUUUGACGGGUAGCCGGCCUGAGAGGGUGACCGGCCACAUUGGGACUGAGAUACGGCCCAGACUCCUACGGGAGGCAGAAGUGGGGAAUAUUGCACAAUGGGCGGAAGCCUGAUGCAGCAACGCCGCGUGCGGGAUGACGGCCUUCGGGUUGUAAACCGCUUUCGCCUGUGACGAAGCGUGAGUGACGGUAAUGGGUAAAGAAGCACCGGCUAACUACGUG